RNAcentral lists this ribosomal RNA (460 nucleotides) under uncultured bacterium. RNAcentral's name for it is "partial 16S ribosomal RNA". It matches the Rfam family "Bacterial small subunit ribosomal RNA", at positions 338 to 795 of the family's 1533-position model. The record is from RNAcentral.
CCUACGGGUGGCAGCAGUGAGGAAUAUUGGUCAAUGGGCUUACGCCUGAACCAGCCAAGUCGCGUGAGGGAAGACUGCCCUAUGGGUUGUAAACCUCUUUUGUCAGGGAGCAAUUGGCGCUACGUGUACCGUUAUCGAGAGUACCUGUAGAAAAAGCCUCGGCAAACUCCGUGCCAGCAGCCGCGGUAAUCCGGAGGAUGCGAGCGUUAUCCGGAUUUAUUGGGUUUAAAGGGUGCGUAGGCGGAGUGCCAAGUCAGCGGUAAAAUCGCGGGCCUCAACCUCGCUCCGCCGUUGAAACUGGCGUGCUGGAGUGGGGGAGAGGUAGGCGGAAUGCGUGGUGUAGCGGUGAAAUGCAUAGAUAUCACGCAGAACUCCGAUUGCGAAGGCAGCAUGCCGGAGCGCAACUGACGCUGAAGCACGAAAGCGUGGGUAUCGAACAGGAUUAGAUACCCCUGUAGUC